Non-coding RNA from Arsukibacterium sp. MJ3, 184 nucleotides. It matches the Rfam family "6S / SsrS RNA". Rfam says of the family: E. coli 6S RNA was the first non coding RNA to be sequenced, but its function was unknown until recently. It consists of 184 nucleotides that fold into an extended hairpin structure with a large single-stranded internal bulge. The record is from Rfam. NCBI's taxonomy places the organism in Bacteria, Pseudomonadati, Pseudomonadota, Gammaproteobacteria, Chromatiales, Chromatiaceae.
UGUUCUCUGGGUUGUUUGUAAUGUUAUUGACGUCCCUGAGCCGAUAAUUGUUUUAUCUAGGAAUUCUUCUGCGUUGCUUUUGUGCAGGCCCGGCUUGUACCGGGAAGCCUACGGUAACCAUGAGUCUUCCGCCUUGAACCUUGGGUUCAAGGGCUUAAAUAACAAACGGCAAUUCGGAGAACCC